RNAcentral lists this ribosomal RNA (253 nucleotides) under uncultured bacterium. RNAcentral describes it as "partial 16S ribosomal RNA". It matches the Rfam family "Bacterial small subunit ribosomal RNA", at positions 524 to 776 of the family's 1533-position model. The record is from RNAcentral.
UACGGAGGGAGCUAGCGUUGUUCGGAAUUACUGGGCGUAAAGCGCGCGUAGGCGGCCUUGCAAGUUAGAGGUGAAAGCCCGGAGCUCAACUCCGGAACUGCCUUUAAAACUGCAUAGCUUGAAUCCGGGAGAGGUGAGUGGAAUUCCCGGUGUAGUGGUGGAAUGCGUAGAUAUCGGGAGGAACACCAGUGGCGAAGGCGACUUCCUGGACCUGUUCUGACGCUGAGGAGCGAAAGCGUGGGGAGCGAUCCGG